This 92-nucleotide small nuclear RNA is filed under the name Dasypus novemcinctus (nine-banded armadillo). Lineage: Eukaryota; Metazoa; Chordata; Mammalia; Cingulata; Dasypodidae. The record is from RNAcentral.
CUGCUUUAUGAACAGCAACUAUACAGAAAUUGGAAUGAUACAGAGAUUGGCCUGGCCCUGUGCCACAAAUUCAUGAAGCAUUCCAUAUUUUU